CUUUUCACUUGAGAGAAGCAGGGCAAGCCCCGCCCUCAGUUGUAGUUUCUCAUCUAUCUAAACAUAUGAUUCAGGAGCCAUGCCCCUGAGACACAAACUCCGCUUGUGCCUGAAUAUUACAGACAUCUCUGAACAGGGACUUUGGAGACCAGGGCAGCUCCUCUGAAUUUGACCCUUGGAGAUCAGAAAAUAAUCCCAGGGGGGAGAUUUCCAGAUGACAGCGGCAGAGAACUGGGGCCCAGACUAUGCAUUUUCCUUCUGAACUAUGUAAACUCUAUUUUAGCUGUUUAAAGGCACCUAUCACUGUGGUAUCUAAGCAAGUAUUGAACAGAAAGCAAGUCAGUUUCUGGCUGCUUUCCCUACAAUUUUGAAACUGAAAAGACUAUGUAGCAGUCAGUAGUUAGGCACAGCCCAAAGCAACUCAGCCAUAAGUCCCUUCCUAGCAGUUUUCCAUCUACUUUAUUGUGUUUGUACAGUGCCUAGCACAAGGGGGUCCAUGACUGGAGCGCCUAGGUACUCUGAUAACAGGGAAAAAAUGUUUGGGGGGAAAAAAGGACCAUUCUCUGGUUAACCAGCAGAUACUGAAGUCAUAUAACGCUCUCUGCACCCUUUGCUGCCAGUUGUAUUCCUGAAGGAUGCUGGAUGUGUUCAACUACCUUCUCACAUUCUGGCAGAGCGAUCUUCCAAAUUGUUUGUUGCUGAGACUCCACAAGCUAAACAAUCUGGCCAUGUCUUUCCCCAAAUUGAGCCCUAGCUGGUGGCCAGUGACCUACUGCUUGGUGAGGUCACUGCUGCCUGUACCACACUUCAAAAAAUUCUUAUUCAGAGUUUGCUUUUCUGAUUUUUAACCCCCUGCUGAUUUAUAUCCUAAAGCAAAUGUGUGACUAUUUCAGCUGCUCACCUAGGGCCCUCCAGUCUUUUCUACCUGGCAGGCUUGCUAGUUACCCUCCCUUCGCUGAAGGGAAAACAAUACAGUAUCAUCUAUCCUUCCCCUACCUAAUUUGUUUAAGAAAACCAAAAGUGACUGCUGCAGUUAAUUAAAAGGUACUGUCUGAUGUUUUCAAAAGAACGCUCCCCUGGCUUUCUUGCCGGAGGCAGGUAAAAUGGAUGUGACUGACAGCCUGGUUGCUGGUUGUGAGUUUUAGAGCAAAGAUGCAGUCUCAGCUCAUAUGAGUUGCCACAGGCGACCCUGCAGGUACAAUGUGGCACGAAGAAUGAAAUGACCUGGAGGAAACCGGUAAAGUCAUCUGAGCGUGGGUGGUUGUGUUUUAAUUAAAUCUAACCAAAAUUUUUCAGAUCUCAAAACCUCUUGGGUUCACUUCCAGUUAGAAGAAAAAUUGUGGAUGGCUUCUUGCUGUAACAACUAAUUUGCCCAUCCCUCACAACAAAAACCAAUGAGGGAGAUCGUUCCCAGAUCCAUUGUCUUGUUAUGUAAAAUGCUGGCAAUAGACUUAAAUAGACUAAGAAAAAAUCUAAUUUUCUUACCCAUAUGCUUAGGUACCCUGGUGUAUUUAAACUCAGCAGUGAAUUCCACCACUCAGAGUCCUAUUACAUAGUUCUUUGACCCAGACCAACCUUGUAUUUUUCUUUUCUCUGUUUUUUCUGAUGGCACUGUAAAUGGUUUUUGCGUGCUGCCAAAGUCAUGGUUCUAGUAACCUGUUUUUAUAUGCUCUCUCUUUAUUCUCCAAGUAAUCCAUCUGUAUCAGAACAAUCUUAACUCGACCACUAGGGUUUCACGUUGGGAUGAAUGUUGCACUACCACUUCUAAUGUAAAAUGCUUAUUUCUUUGUAAUUUGUUUAUUCUGUUAACAAAUGUAUCAUAAAGCAUCUUACUACAGUGAUCUGAUCAAGAUAAAUGCUAUAUUCCAAUAUUUUUAAAACUCACCUUCUGUUCACGAGUGUUCACAUUUUCAUUUUACUUUAAAAAUUCAGAAUUUUAAAAUGUCAAAAAGUGAAACAUUUUCACCCAGCUCUAUGGUUGAUUGAACAAUGGGGAAAAAUCUUAUGAAGGCUUUGUCAACCUUCUUUAUUUCAAAAUUUUGAAAAAUUGCAACUGGCUCCUAAAGCAAAAGUGUUUAAUAGAGCUGGUUAAAAAUUGUAAUGUUUUUCAAAAAAAAUGUGCAUCUAAUUUCAAAUGUUAACAUUUUUUUCAAACCAUUCUAUUCAAGUAUUGAAUAGAAAACAAGCCAAACACACCCACAACUUCAAACAGAGGUGGAAAAAUGAUGAUGGUGCUUAAAUAUAAUUUUUAAAAAAAUGACCAAAUUUUGUUUUCCAGUGAGAUCCUCUACCUCAUAUUUUAGCAUCUUUCAGAAGGACAAAUGUGAGAGGUGAUGUGAAGUUUCUUUUAAUGGCAAUUAG
Molecule: long non-coding RNA, 2361 nt
Organism: Mauremys reevesii (Reeves's turtle)
Lineage: Eukaryota; Metazoa; Chordata; Testudines; Geoemydidae
Exons: 3
Source: RefSeq, a predicted model, not a curated record